Coffea arabica (coffee) is the source of this 5574-nucleotide non-coding RNA. Lineage: Eukaryota; Viridiplantae; Streptophyta; Magnoliopsida; Gentianales; Rubiaceae. The record is from RefSeq and is a predicted model, not a curated record.
CAAGAGUGAAAGAGAACCACAAGACCCUGAGAUCAAUCGGCGAAGAAUUCAACCUGCACUCCGAUCGCGUAGGCUUCUCAAAAUAAUGUCAGCUCUACACGACGUAUCUGUCUGGGAACUUGGUUCCAUACCCAGAAGGAGAUCAGACAACCAAGAUUAUCCAUCAUCAAUCAACGGUCAUUCCACCAGAUUUGUCCUCAAGCCCCCAAAAAGAACCAAAAGGAAAAACCCGCAAAAAGAAAAAAAAUCACCUCUUUAUUAUUUGCCGAUCGUACCGCUCCUUCAAUCUCCGCUGAUUCUUCAAGAUUCCGACGUCUUCUCCGAUUAGUCAACUUGUGCGAAACCAUUUGCGGAUUCGUGAGUUUGUUCUCUCAAGAUUGAGAGUCGUAGGGAUAUGUUUGGACGGUGAAGGACUGACUUUUUUCCUCCUAAAUUCGUAAAUGGGUACUCCAGUAAAUAUCAUUGUUGGGAGUCAUGUUUGGGUUGAAGACCCAUCUGUUGCUUGGAUAGAUGGACAAGUAACUAAGAUAAAUGGAAAUGAAGUUGAGAUCCAGUUGUCUGAUGGGAGGACGGUCGUUGAGAAAUUGUCAAAGAUCUAUCCCAAAGAUGAAGAAGCUCCUGCUGGUGGAGUGGAUGAUAUGACGAAAUUAUCAUAUUUGCAUGAGCCUGGAGUACUGCAGAACUUAGCUGCAAGAUAUCAACUCAAUGAAAUCUAUACUUACACUGGAAGUAUUCUUAUCGCCAUUAAUCCAUUCCAAAGACUACCUCAUAUAUAUGAUUCCAGCAUGAUGGAACAAUAUAAGGGAGCUCCAUUUGGGGAAUUAAGCCCUCAUGUUUUUGCAAUUGCAGAUGUUGCCUAUAGGGCAAUGAUUAAUGAAGGAAAGAGUAAUUCUAUUCUGGUCAGUGGCGAAAGUGGUGCUGGUAAGACUGAAACAACCAAAAUGCUUAUGCGAUAUCUUGCCUUUCUGGGUGGACGUAAAGGCACUGAAGGAAGGACUGUGGAACAACAGGUUUUAGAGUCAAACCCAGUCCUUGAAGCUUUUGGUAAUGCAAAAACUGUUAGGAACAACAAUUCCAGCCGUUUUGGUAAAUUUGUUGAGAUACAAUUUAACAAGAAUGGAAGAAUAUCAGGAGCUGCAAUUAGAACAUAUCUUCUUGAGAGAUCUCGUGUUUGCCAAGUUUCAGAUCCAGAACGCAACUAUCACUGUUUCUACCUCCUUUGUGCAGCACCACAGGAGGAAAUUGAGAAAUAUAAGUUGGGGCAUCCCAAAACAUUUCACUAUCUUAAUCAAUCAAAUUGCUAUGAACUAGUUGGCAUUAAUGAUGCUCAUGAUUAUCUUGCAACAAGGAGAGCCAUGGAUAUCGUUGGCAUUAGCCAAAAAGAGCAGGAUGCAAUUUUCAGAGUUGUGGCUGCUAUUCUCCAUCUUGGUAAUAUUGAAUUUGCGAAGGGUAAAGAAAUUGAUUCAUCGAUCCUCAAGGAUGAAAAGUCUAAGUUCCAUCUGCAAACAACAGCAGAGCUACUUAUGUGUGAUCCUGUUGCACUGGAAGAUGCACUAUUGAAGCGUGUGAUGGUAACCCCUGAAGAAGUUAUCAAAAGAAGUCUUGAUCCAGAUGGUGCAACAGUUAGUAGGGAUGGUUUAGCAAAGACAACAUAUUCCCGUUUGUUUGAUUGGUUGGUGGACAAGAUUAAUGUCUCUAUUGGACAAGAUCCUAAUUCAAAAUCCCUUAUUGGAGUUCUUGACAUCUAUGGUUUUGAAAGCUUUAAACUUAAUAGUUUUGAACAGUUCUGUAUUAAUUUCACAAAUGAAAAGCUGCAACAACAUUUUAACCAGCACGUGUUUAAGAUGGAGCAAGAAGAAUACACAAAAGAAGAAAUUGAUUGGAGUUACAUCGAAUUUGUUGAUAACCAAGAUGUCUUGGAUCUUAUUGAAAAGAAACCAGGAGGUAUUGUUGCUCUCCUUGAUGAAGCCUGUAUGUUUCCCAAGUCAACUCAUGAAACGUUUUCUCAAAAGCUUUAUCAGACAUUCAAAUCCCACAAACGCUUCAUCAAACCAAAGUUGUCACGUACGGAUUUCACAAUUGCUCAUUAUGCUGGCGAGGUCCAGUAUCAAUCUGAGCAAUUUUUGGAUAAGAACAAAGACUAUGUUGUCCCUGAACAUCAAGAUCUGUUGGUUGCUUCCAAAUGCUCUUUCGUAGCUGGGCUUUUUCCCCCACUUCCUGAAGAAACUACUAAAUCUUCGAACAAAUCUUCCAAGUUCUCAUCCAUUGGUUCUCGUUUUAAGUUACAACUUCAACAGCUGAUGGAAACAUUGAACUCUACUGAACCUCACUACAUUAGAUGUGUUAAACCUAACAAUCUUCUGAAACCAGCUGUUUUUGAAAAUGCCAACAUCAUGCAGCAACUGCGUUGUGGUGGUGUUCUAGAGGCAAUCAGAAUCAGUUGUGCUGGAUACCCUACACGUAAGACAUUCUAUGAAUUUCUACUUCGGUUUGGUCUUCUAGCACCAGAGUUCUUGGAAGGGAAUACUGAUGAAAGGAUUGCCUGCAAAAAGAUUUUGGAGAAGUUGAAUCUGGCAGGAUAUCAGAUAGGAAAAACGAAGGUUUUCUUAAGAGCUGGUCAAAUGGCUGAACUAGAUGCACGAAGAGCUCAAAAGCUGAACAAUGCAGCUAAGACAAUCCAAAGGAAGACUAGAACUCAUAUUGCUCGGAAGCAUUUUCUUGCUUUGCAGGAGGCUGCAGUUUGUAUACAAUCUGUUUGUCGAGGAAGGCUUGCUUGUAAAGUAUAUGAUGGUAUUAAAAAGGAGGCAGCUUCACUUAAAAUCCAGGCAAACUUGCGUUGUCAUCUGGCCCGGAGGAAGUACACAAACAUAAAGCUGGCAGGAGUUGUACUGCAGACAGGAAUGAGAUCAAUGGCUGCACGAAAGGAAUUCAGAUAUAGAAGGCAAACCACGGCAGCAACUCUUUUGCAGGCCAAUUGGCGUGGUCAUAGAGCCUUCUCAUACUAUAAGAAACUUAUAAGAGCAGCCAUUAUAACACAAUGCAGAUGGAGGGGAAGGGCGGCUAGAAGAGAACUCCGAAAAUUGAAGAUGGCUGCAAGAGAAACAGGGGCUCUGCAACAAGCAAAGGAUAAGCUUGAAAAACAGGUGGAAGACCUUACCUGGCGAUUGCAGUUGGAGAAACGUUUAAGGACUGACUUGGAAGAGGCAAAAGGCCAGGAAAUAGCAAAGUUACAGCAAUCGUUGCAAGAUAUGCAAAGCAAAGUGGAUGAAUCUAAUGCAUUGCUCAUCAAGGAACGUGAGGCUGCUCAGAAGGCAAUUGAAGAAGCCUCUUCAAUUGUUAGAGAAACACCUGUUCCUGUUGAAGAUACUAAAAAGAUUGAUGCUUUAACUGCAGAAGUUGAAAAUUUGAAGACUUUGCUACAAUCUGAAACCCAAAGAGCCGAUGAUUCUGAAAGGAGAUGUGCGGAAGCUUUGCAGUCAAGUGAAGACAAGCGUCAGAAAUUAGAAGAAACCAAUAAAAGAGUUCAUCAACUUCAGGAAUCUUUGAACAGGCUUGAAGAGAAACUUUCCAACUUGGAAUCAGAAAACAAAGUUCUUCGCCAGCAGGCCCUUGCAAUGGCACAAAGUAAUAAGUUGCUAUCCAGCCGCUCAAGGUCAAUUAUGCAGAGGACUGAAAGUACAAAAACCAAUGUCGACCUACAUAGUGCUUCAAUGAAUGCAAGGGAUUCUUCAGAGGCAGAGGGAAGACCUCAGAAAUCGCUUAAUGAGAAGCAACAGGAGUAUCAGGACUUGCUCCUUCGCUGUGUUGCGCAGCAUCUAGGCUUCUCUAAGGGUAGACCAGUUGCUGCCUGCAUCAUAUACAAAUGCCUUAGACAGUGGCAUUCAUUUGAAGCUGAGAGGACAAGUAUUUUUGACAAAAUAAUCCAGACCAUCGGCCAUGCUAUUGAGAAGACUCAGGACAAUAAUGAUGUCUUAGCCUAUUGGCUAUCCAAUGCUUCAACAUUGUUGCUGCUGUUGCAACGCACACUGAAAGCUGGUGGCACUACCGGGGUGACUACUCAACACCGGCGAUCACCAUCAGCAACUCUGUUUGGGAGAAUGACACAGAGUUUCCGGGGAACUCCUCAAGAUGUCAACCUUUCUCUGAUUGAUGGUGAUUUGGCUCGUAGAGUGGAUAUUCUACGCCAGGUUGAAGCAAAAUACCCUGCGUUGCUUUUUAAACAGCAACUUACAGCUUAUGUGGAGAAAAUUUAUGGAAUGAUCCGUGAUAAUUUAAAGAAAGAGAUUUCUCCGGUGCUUGGGUUGUGCAUUCAGGCACCAAGACUAUCCAGAGCAACCUUGCUUAAGGGGACAGCACGCAUGCUUGCUAAUGCUGCUGCUCAGGAGAUCUUAAUUGCUCAUUGGCAAGGCAUUGUGAAGAGCCUAGGAAACUUUUUAAAUAUCUUAAAAGCUAAUCACGUGCCUCCCUUUCUGGUGCGCAAGAUUUUCACCCAAAUUUUUUCUUUCAUCAAUGUGCAACUCUUCAACAGCCUCUUGCUGAGACGAGAAUGUUGCUCGUUUAGUAAUGGAGAAUAUGUGAAGGCUGGGUUGGCUGAGCUGGAGCACUGGUGCUAUAAUGCUACUGAUGAGUAUGCUGGUUCAUCCUGGGACGAGCUUAAGCAUAUAAGACAAGCGAUUGGGUUUCUGGUACACCACCAUCUUCUUCUUGCUGGAAAACUUUCUGCUCGUUAUCAUGUUAAUUGAAGAAAAGGCAGUUACAGUGUCCGUUGGACAAUUUGAUCCUUUCAUUCAAGCAUGCACCUUUGAUUGGAAUCAGUGAACAUAUUCUGUAUUCGGAAAAUGUUUGAGGUUAUACAUCAAAAGCCCAAGAAGACGCUAGAUGAAAUAAGUCAUGAUCUAUGCCCUGUGCUUAGCAUUCAACAGCUCUACAGGAUCAGCACAAUGUACUGGGAUGACAAAUAUGGCACGCAUAGUCUUUCCCCAGAUGUUAUAUCCAACAUGAGGGUGUUAAUGACGGAAGACUCCAAUAAUGCUGUAAGCAGUUCUUUCCUGCUGGAUGAUGAUUCAAGCAUUCCAUUCUCUGUUGAUGACCUCUCCAAGUCAAUGGAUCAGAUUGAUGUUUUAGACAUUGAACCACCCUCACUUAUUCGUGAAAAUUCAGGGUUCAGCUUCUUACUGCCUGCCACGUCCUGACUAAAGAUGGGUUAAUUGAUCGCCAUCCAAUUCUUUGCUAAGACUUGAUAAAAAGAUAGUUUAAUCCCUGACUUGAUUAUUGGCCUAUUAAAUUGGAACCAUUGGCUUUUCCCAUCCUCAAAUGAUUCAUGGCAUGUCUUCUGCACUUUUGGUUUUGUUUCUUUGAAACUUGUCUCAUCUCUGCAUAUGGCUGGCGUACAUUAUUGAUGGUUAAUGCGUUUCAUUUUAGGGCUUCACCGCGCAUUUGUUCCUCUUAGCUACUAGCUAUCUAGCUGCAUUGCGGCUUUUCUGUAUCCAACGUUAAUUCUUCAAAAAUGUUAAUAGAGUCUAUCUAAUGCCAUUAAUAAUAAUGUAAUCAAGCUUCCCGGGGCUUAUCCGCUUU